Molecule: ribosomal RNA, 474 nt
Filed under: uncultured bacterium
Lineage: Bacteria
Description: SSU rRNA
Rfam family: Bacterial small subunit ribosomal RNA
Source: RNAcentral
AGGACGAACGCUGGCGGCGUGCUUAACACAUGCAAGUCGAACGGAAAGGCCCUUCGGGGUACUCGAGUGGCGAACGGGUGAGUAACACGUGGGCAACCUGCCCUUAGCUCUGGGAUAGCUCCGGGAAACCGGAAUUAAUACCGGAUAUGACCUAGGCCGACAUCGGCCGUGGUGGAAAGUUUUUCGGCUAGGGAUGGACUCGCGGCCUAUCAGCUAGUUGGUGGGGUAAUGGCCUACCAAGGCGACGACGGGUAGCCGGCCUGAGAGGGCGACCGGCCACACUGGGACUGAGACACGGCCCAGACUCCUACGGGAGGCAGCAGUGGGGAAUCUUGCGCAAUGGGCGAAAGCCUGACGCAGCGACGCCGCGUGGGGGAUGAAGGCCUUCGGGUUGUAAACCCCUUUCAGCAGGGACGAAGCGAAAGUGACGGUACCUGCAGAAGAAGCGCCGGCUAACUACGCGCCAGCAGCCGC